GACCCCGCACAAGCGGCGGAGCAUGCGGCUUAAUUCGAUGAUACCCGUAGAACCUUACCUGGACUUGACAUAUAGGGUCAAGCUAUAGAGAUAUAGUGUGCAUUAGCGCCCUAUACAGGUGGUGCAUGGCUGUCGUCAGCUCGUGUCGUGAGAUGUUGGGUUAAGUCCCGCAACGAGCGCAACCCCCUGUCCUAUGUUGCCAGCAUUUAGUUGGGGACUCAUAGGAGACUGCCGUGAUAAACCGGAGGAAGGUGGGACGACGUCAAGUAUCAUGCCCCUUAUGUCCAGGGCUGCACGCAUGCUACAAUGGCAAGUACAACGAGUCGCAAAACGCGAGGUGGAGCA
This 345-nucleotide ribosomal RNA is filed under the name uncultured bacterium. RNAcentral's name for it is "bacterial SSU rRNA". It matches the Rfam family "Bacterial small subunit ribosomal RNA", at positions 920 to 1269 of the family's 1533-position model. The record is from RNAcentral.